Molecule: ribosomal RNA, 513 nt
Filed under: Cryptoses choloepi
Lineage: Eukaryota; Metazoa; Arthropoda; Insecta; Lepidoptera; Pyralidae
Description: partial 16S ribosomal RNA
Source: RNAcentral
UCUGCCCACUGAUAUAAUAUUAAAGGGCUGCAGUAUUUUGAGNGUACAAAGGUAGCAUAAUCAUUAGUCUUUUAAUUGAAGACUUGUAUGAAUGAUUGGAUGAAAUAUAAACUGUCUCUAAUAUUAUUAGUUAGAAUUUAAUUUUUUUAUUAAAAAGUAAAAAUAAAUUUAAAAGACGAGAAGACCCUAUAGAGUUUUAUAAUUAAUUUAAUUGAAAUUAUUUAUAAAGAUAAUUUUAAAUUAAUAAAUUAAAAUUAAGUUAAUUAUUUUGUUGGGGUGAUAAAAAAAUAAAAAUAACUUUUUUUAAUAAAUAUAUAUAUAUAUAUAUAUAUAUAUAUAUAUAUAUAUUGUAAACAAAAAUAAAUGAUUUUUUGAUCCAGAAUUUUUGAUUAUAAGAAAAAAUUACCUUAGGGAUAACAGCGUAAUUUUUUUUUUUAGUUCAAAUAAGAAAAAGAGUUUGCGACCUCGAUGUUGGAUUAAGGAAAAAUUUAAAUGCAAAAGUUUAAAAUUUUG